GAGGAAAGCUGGCGGCGUGCCUAAUACAUGCAAGUCGAGCGAACAGACGAGGAGCUUGCUCCUUUGACGUUAGCGGCGGACGGGUGAGUAACACGUAGGUAACCUACCUAUAAGACUGGGAUAACUUCGGGAAACCGGAGCUAAUACCGGAUAAUAUUUCGAACCGCAUGGUUCGAUAGUGAAAGAUGGCUUUGCUAUCACUUAUAGAUGGACCUGCGCCGUAUUAGCUAGUUGGUAAGGUAACGGCUUACCAAGGCAACGAUACGUAGCCGACCUGAGAGGGUGAUCGGCCACACUGGAACUGAGACACGGUCCAGACUCCUACGGGAGGCAGCAGUAGGGAAUCUUCCGCAAUGGGCGAAAGCCUGACGGAGCAACGCCGCGUGAGUGAUGAAGGUCUUCGGAUCGUAAAACUCUGUUAUUAGGGAAGAACAAACGUGUAAGUAACUGUGCACGUCUUGACGGUACCUAAUCAGAAAGCCACGGCUAACUACGUG
This 497-nucleotide ribosomal RNA is filed under the name uncultured bacterium. Its description in RNAcentral is "partial 16S ribosomal RNA". It matches the Rfam family "Bacterial small subunit ribosomal RNA", at positions 28 to 507 of the family's 1533-position model. The record is from RNAcentral.